CUCAGGACGAACGCUGGCGGCGUGCCUAACACAUGCAAGUCGAACGGAGAUAUGAUUUCGGUUGUAUCUUAGUGGCGAACGGGUGAGUAACGCGUGAACAACCUGACUCUAAGAGGGGGAUAACACUCGGAAACGGGUGCUAAUACCGCAUAAGACCACGACCUGGCAUCAGGAUGAGGUCAAAGGAGCAAUCCGCUGAGAGAGGGGUUCGCGUCCCAUUAGAUAGAUGGCGGGUAACGGCCCACCAUGUCAACGAUGGGUAGCCGAGCUGAGAGGCUGAUCGGCCACACUGGAACUGAGACACGGUCCAGACUCCUACGGGAGGCAGCAGUGGGGAAUAUUGGGCAAUGGGCGCAAGCCUGACCCAGCAACGCCGCGUGAGGGAAGAAGGCUUUCGGGUUGUAAACCUCUGUCCUUGGUGACGAAACAAAUGACGGUAGCCAAGGAGGAAGCCCCGGCUAACUACGUG
Molecule: ribosomal RNA, 469 nt
Filed under: uncultured bacterium
Lineage: Bacteria
Description: bacterial SSU rRNA
Rfam family: Bacterial small subunit ribosomal RNA
Source: RNAcentral